RNAcentral lists this ribosomal RNA (440 nucleotides) under uncultured bacterium. RNAcentral's name for it is "partial 16S ribosomal RNA". It matches the Rfam family "Bacterial small subunit ribosomal RNA", at positions 338 to 795 of the family's 1533-position model. The record is from RNAcentral.
CCUACGGGGGGCAGCAGUGAGGAAUAUUGGGCAAUGGAGGCAACUCUGACCCAGCCAUGCCGCGUGAGUGAAGAAGGUUUUCGGAUUGUAAAGCUCUUUCGGAUGUGACGAUGAUGACGGUAGCAUCUAAAGAAGCCCCGGCUAACUUCGUGCCAGCAGCCGCGGUAAUACGAAGGGGGCUAGCGUUGUUCGGAAUUACUGGGCGUAAAGGGAGUGUAGGUGGUUUAGUAAGUUAGUGGUGAAAUCCCAAGGCUUAACUUUUGAAUUGCCUUUAUAACUAGUAGACUAGAGUUACAGAGAGGAUAGUGGAAUGCCUAGUGUAGAGGUGAAAUUCGUAGAUAUUAGGUAGAACACCAGUGGCGAAGGCGGCUAUCUGGCUGUACAUUGACGCUGAGGCACGAAAGCAUGGGGAUCAAACAGGAUUAGAUACCCUAGUAGUC